This is a non-coding RNA of Coffea arabica (coffee), 2505 nucleotides long. The record is from RefSeq and is a predicted model, not a curated record. Lineage: Eukaryota; Viridiplantae; Streptophyta; Magnoliopsida; Gentianales; Rubiaceae.
UCUUUUACUCCGUUUCGACUUUCGAGAGAGAUCUUAACGAAGAGAGAGAAAUCAGAGGACUCCGCAACUUCAACAAGAAUUCGAGGUCCCAGAAAAAGUCUUGUUAAAACAUUAGAGACAUCAUAGAAUAUUGCUACACAGUUACGGGAUUAAAGUCAGCAUAGUGGAAUUUGCUGUGCCCUGGUUGAUGGUUUAUGUCAUACUCUCGGAGAUCAAGGUAUUCUCUUUCUCCUUCACCUUACAGGCGAUACGAUAGGUCGGUUUCAAGGUCCUUGUCAAGGAGCCGAUCAAGAAGUCGUGAUUCAAGUGAUGCUGAGAAUCCUGGAAACAACUUGUAUGUCACGGGGCUUUCUACCCGAGUCACAAAGAGAGAUCUUGAAAAGCAUUUUUCAACUGAGGGCACGGUAGAAGAUGUCCACCUUGUUAUCGAUCCAUGGUCUCGAGAAUCCCGUGGAUUUGGUUUUGUGACUAUGGCUUCUGUUAAGGAGGCUGAUAGAUGCAUCAAGUAUUUGAACCAUUCUGUGCUUGAGGGCAGGGUUAUAACUAUUGAGAAGGUAAUCUGCCAUCCCCUUUAUCUUCUGAGUUGUGCUUAUUGCAUCUUUAUUUUCAGAUUAUUGUACCGUACCGUUAAUAUCAUGGACUUCCUUUGUUAUCGAGUUUGAAAGUUCUAUGCUUCUCUUCCAUGAAGUUUCUUUGCAAGCAGGUUAGCUGUGUGUAGCAGCUCUUCGUCAAAGUCCAAAUUAACAAAUCAAACCAAUCACAUGAAGCAAAUAUCAGACUCUUAACCAGAGGGUUGUAUGCCCUGCAUUUCUUUUUUUAUAUCGCAAUUUACUUAUUAUGUUAUUUGGUAGUUGUUCAAAUCUUAGGCAAGUCUUGUCCUUGAAUAUUGCUCUUAACCAAAUAAGUAGUUCCCCCCGUCUGGGAUAAACCUUUUAUUUAUGUGAUUUUCAUGACCUUAUUCCUUGUCUACACAUGUUCAGGCCAGGAGACGAAGGGGUAGAACACCUACACCAGGGAGGUACCUUGGUCUGAGAACUAUUCAUGGUUGUUCUCGAAGCAGUAGCCGUUCACCUCGGUAUUCAUCUGAGACAUAUAGCAGGAGCAGAAGCAAAAGCAGAUCUUACUCUCCUUACUAUGGUCGUCGGUAUUCAUCUGGAAGGAGCAGAAGCAGAUCAUACUCUCCUUACUACAGUCGGCGCAGAUCAUAUUCUCCAUACUAUGCCUACUACAGACGCAAGACGUACUCCCGGCUACGUUCCCCAUGUGGCAGGUCACCAGUAAGCAGGCGUGAUCGAUCUUAUUCCCCCUAUCAUAGAGAUUAUUCACCUGAUGAUCGUUACCGAAGAAGAAGUCUAUACCGUUCCAUUUCACGAAGCAUUUCUCCCAGGUACCGGCGAUAUUCAAGGAGAAGUUAUUCGCGCAGCGUCUCGCCAAGGUAUCCAAGGCAUUCGAGGAGGAGCUAUUCUUGGAGUCUCUCUCCACUGCCUAGGAAGAGCUCAAGGCGGAGCUUCUCGCGUAGCCUUUCACCCAGGCGAAGGAAAAGGUGGAGGAGGAGAGUUUCUCGGGAUAGCUAUUCUUCAAGGAGCUCUUCAAGAAGUUGUAGUGCAUCUUCUAGAUCUGUUUCAAGAUCUGUUACUCCUACAUCUGAUUGACCUCCUUGUGUGUGGUUUCCCUUUUUUAGUGACAAGCAACUGUGAAGAGUCGAUUUGAUGGUUUGCGUUGACUUGUUUUAAGCUGCUGUUCGACUCUCUAUAUUUUAGUUUCUAUGUGCGACUGUUCCCAGGUUUUGGUCCCUUUUUUUGGCAAUUGUGGCCAUUUUAGGCAUUGAGUUUAAGCUUUUUUUUUUUCUUUUUUUUUGUUUAUUCCCCGUGUACGUUAUCGUUACUAUGGUCUGGGGUUAUGUGGCAUAGAUCCAAGACUUCGGUGAGUUGGUUUAUUGUUAAUAGACGGGUUGAAGUCUGAGGCAGCUACCCUAAACUAGGAAUGGAGUCGUGUUGAAAGCAUGGGAGCGCGUCAUUUCGUUUCUUAGCUGGAAAGUCCAAGUCCACAAACCGAAUAGAAGAUUCUUUCAGGAACUUUCGAGUCUACAUGUUCAUACAUGCCCGAAGGAUCAGGCGCUUCUCUCUUGUAGUGGUGUAUUUUUUUUUUGGGUCUAACCACCCGGUAUCCCUUUCGGACUAAUCCGGAUUCAGCCCGGGGAGCGCUCGCAGAGUUUGACUCUUACUCGAGGGUGAAGGCCUGGCCCUGGAGUUAUUGCAGGAGCGCAGCGAGAAUCGAACCUUGGUCGUCCUGCUCGCAUUACCAGCCGCUUAUCACUGGCCCCAACUCCUCGGAUUUAGUGGUGUAUUUUCACAUAGCUCUUAUAAGCAUUUAUAUUUGAGAGGGCAAAAGUUGGAUUUCUCAAUGUAAUUAUUAGCCUGUUUGGAAGGUCAGUGUUUUGGAUGUUUGUUUAAAAUUUUACUGUAGAUUAUUAUAGAAGUUAUAAGAAAAAUUUUUAGGUUGAAA